GCCUGAUUAGCAUAAAAGUAAUGCAGCUGUUUUGUAACCAGCUGAAGCAAGCGCGAUACUUGCAUUGGGCU
RNAcentral lists this transfer RNA (71 nucleotides) under Sclerotinia borealis. Its description in RNAcentral is "tRNA-Thr". It matches the Rfam family "tRNA". From Rfam's summary of the family: Transfer RNA (tRNA) molecules are approximately 80 nucleotides in length. Lineage: Eukaryota; Fungi; Ascomycota; Leotiomycetes; Helotiales; Sclerotiniaceae. The record is from RNAcentral.